CACCCGAAACACACUGCAUGCUAAAGGACCUACAGAAAGCAUGAAUCCUGACCUUCUAACGCAUUUUAUCAUGUCAUUCUGCCUGCUAACUUUUAAAAAGUAGUGUACUUUAUCAGAAAGUGAGGUUUACUGUAGAGAGGCUUGAGGCAGAGAGCUGAGAUAUGAAGGACCCUGAGAGCCUGUGAUUCUAAAUAAUGAUUUAUUAUGUGUGGUAUCGGAGCCAGGGUUAUGAUCUGGAUUCAAAUCCGAGUUUGAGUACAUUCUGUACCCAUUAACAGUUGAUAGCGCAUACUUGUCUAGAUCUGAACCAGCUUUAAACUAUAGGCACCCCCGAAAGGUUCGGGUUCGUCAUCGUAAAGAUCACUUUUGGAAAUCGAUUAUGCGCCAAUAUUUACGGGUUCCUCGCCGGCGAUCAAUCCUAGACUCGGGUCCCAUUUUGACCCCCGGUUGAAGUAGAAAUCUGACGCGUGACGCUCCGGAAUGGACAGACUAUAUUAUAGUAACAUCACAUAGGCACGUUGUAGCGUGCGAAUGAUCAAACUAGAAGCAGACAAGAACACUGAGUAACAAACUGUAACAAACUGCCUCCUGUCGUGCUCUCUGAAUUGAUAACCAGUCAACCAGAGUGCAACAAUCACCAUCCUGUCUAUUAUCAACAGGACGUGGUGGAAGACCUGCUAUCCAGGGGCUCCCCCUCACGCCACAGUGGCAAUUACACAUUCAGACAUGCAGCUUUUUUUCUUUUUUCUUUUUUUGACAGUACAGGCAGUGAUGAAUCUGAUUGGUUAAAGCCGGAAAACACCUACUGUCCAUUAUGAGAUGGUUGCCAUGCGGUUUGGGCUUUUAUUUCAUUAAGGCCUCGGCACAAAUUUUUCAUGGUGUAAAUGUACGAUGAACAUGGUUUAGCUUUGUAAAUAUUAUACAGAGGAAAUUGAGGUUUGAUGUCACAGUGACUAUAUUUCAGUAAUAAUAAAUGUGUUUCUCUUGCAGUGAUUUUAUUUGGUGGUUUUAAACACUUAGUUCUAAAGUUAAAAGCAGAAACUUUUUAUGAAUUUUGUUCACCAAACUAUAAUCUCUCUUUCUCUCUCUCUCUAUAUAUAUGCUAUAACUAUUUAAUAAUAAUAAUACCAUAUAACCAAGACACAGUCAGUGAACUGAACUAUAUCAUUGAAAGGCUGAUAAUUUUAGAUAUUUGUUUAAGUGGUUUGCUGUAUAUGUUUUCUUUACACAUUACUGCUAUUAUAUGAAUUAUUCUGUUUUAUAAUCGUUUAACUGUUUCAAUUCUGCUAAAAAGCCUGGCUUAAAAUAAUUCUAAGCGUGUUCUAUAAACUGUAUUGUUUCAAGCAACAAUAAAAAAAAAAGUUAAUGUUCAGUUAAUACUAAUAAAAUGUAUUUAAAGUUUGUGCCUGUGCAUAAUAUAUAUAUUUUACAAUGGCUUAUUUUAUUUUUUACUAGCUUUGUACUGCCAUUGCAAAUUAGCGAUUACGAUUAGUAUAGUACAUUUGUAUUAACAACAUUAAUAUUGUUAUUAAUCAUAUAUAUAUCCAGCACUAACAAUCUAUGAGUUACUUAAGCAAGAAUGGGAGUUUUGGAGGAGGG
Carassius gibelio (silver crucian carp) is the source of this 1599-nucleotide long non-coding RNA. RefSeq lists it as uncharacterized. Lineage: Eukaryota; Metazoa; Chordata; Actinopteri; Cypriniformes; Cyprinidae. The record is from RefSeq and is a predicted model, not a curated record. The transcript is spliced from 3 exons.